CUACGGGUUGCUCCAGUGGGGAAUAUUGGGCAAUGGGCGAAAGCCUGACCCAGCAACGCCGCGUGAAGGAAGAAGGUUUUCGGAUCGUAAACUUCUAUCCUUGGAGAAAAUAAUGAUGGUAUCCAAGAAGGAAGCCCCGGCUAACUACGUGCCAGCAGCCGCGGUAAUACGUAGGGGGCAAGCGUUGUCCGGAAUGAUUGGGCGUAAAGGGCGCGUAGGCGGCCUGUUAAGUUUGAAGUGAAAGUCCUGCUUUUAAGGUGGGAAUUGCUUUGAAAACUGGCGGGCUUGAGUGCAGGAGAGGUAAGUGGAAUUCCCGGUGUAGCGGUGAAAUGCGUAGAGAUCGGGAGGAACACCAGUGGCGAAGGCGACUUACUGGACUGUUACUGACGCUGAGGCGCGAAAGUGUGGGGAGCAAACAGGAUUAGAUACCCCAGUAGUC
Molecule: ribosomal RNA, 439 nt
Filed under: uncultured bacterium
Lineage: Bacteria
Description: partial 16S ribosomal RNA
Rfam family: Bacterial small subunit ribosomal RNA
Source: RNAcentral